GAAGAAUCAAUGUAACUAGCUACCUGCAGUGUUGUUCAUCCGGAUACGCAUGUAAGGAUCACAAGAAAGAUAAAGGUUCUUAACAGAACGCCAUUAGAACCAUGCGAAAGCUAAUUGAGGCUAAUGGUGGAGGAAGUACUAAGUGCCAGUGGAUUAAUGUGAGGUUUAGCUAGGAACCACUGAAGAUGUUAAAAGUUUAUUGAGAGGUAAUACUCAGUAUUGAUAUGGGAGGUAAUCUUGGUACCAUUAGUACUUUAUUUUGUAU
Molecule: long non-coding RNA, 265 nt
Organism: Erigeron canadensis
Lineage: Eukaryota; Viridiplantae; Streptophyta; Magnoliopsida; Asterales; Asteraceae
Exons: 3
Source: RefSeq, a predicted model, not a curated record